AGUGCAUUUUUUCGCCGACAAUCGGGUGCCUGAUGGCGGCGUAGUGAUCGCUCAGUUAUUGAAUCCUG
RNAcentral lists this ribosomal RNA (68 nucleotides) under Odontella aurita. Its description in RNAcentral is "partial 5.8S ribosomal RNA". The record is from RNAcentral. Lineage: Eukaryota; Bacillariophyta; Thalassiosirophyceae; Eupodiscales; Odontellaceae.